RNAcentral lists this ribosomal RNA (502 nucleotides) under uncultured bacterium. RNAcentral describes it as "partial 16S ribosomal RNA". It matches the Rfam family "Bacterial small subunit ribosomal RNA", at positions 30 to 523 of the family's 1533-position model. The record is from RNAcentral.
AUUGAACGCUGGCGGCAGGCUUAACACAUGCAAGUCGAGCGGGGUGAUGGUGCUUGCACUAUCACUUAGCGGCGGACGGGUGAGUAAUGCUUAGGAAUCUGCCUAUUAGUGGGGGACAACAUCUCGAAAGGGAUGCUAAUACCGCAUACGUCCUACGAGAGAAAGCCGGGGAUCUUUAUGACCUUGCGCUAAUAGAUGAGCCUAAGUCGGAUUAGCUAGUUGGUGGGGUAAAGGCCUACCAAGGCGACGAUCUGUAGCGGGUCUGAGAGGAUGAUCCGCCACACUGGGACUGAGACACGGCCCAGACUCCUACGGGAGGCAGCAGUGGGGAAUAUUGGACAAUGGGGGGAACCCUGAUCCAGCCAUGCCGCGUGUGUGAAGAAGGCCUUAUGGUUGUAAAGCACUUUAAGCGAGGAGGAGGCUCUUUUGGUUAAUACCCAGAAUGAGUGGACGUUACUCGCAGAAUAAGCACCGGCUAACUCUGUGCCAGCCGCCGCGGUAA